RNAcentral lists this Y RNA (113 nucleotides) under Prolemur simus (greater bamboo lemur). Its description in RNAcentral is "Y RNA (ENSPSMG00000006483.1)". It matches the Rfam family "Y RNA". Rfam says of the family: Y RNAs are components of the Ro ribonucleoprotein particle (Ro RNP), in association with Ro60 and La proteins. The record is from Rfam by way of RNAcentral. Lineage: Eukaryota; Metazoa; Chordata; Mammalia; Primates; Lemuridae.
GGCUGGUCUGAAGGUAGUGAGUUAUCUCACUUGAUUGUUCACAGUCAGUUAGAGACUGAACUCCUUGUUCUACAACUUUCCUGCUUCUCACUGCUGUACUUGACUAGUCUAAU